Molecule: ribosomal RNA, 239 nt
Filed under: uncultured bacterium
Lineage: Bacteria
Description: partial 16S ribosomal RNA
Rfam family: Bacterial small subunit ribosomal RNA
Source: RNAcentral
AACGAACGCUAGCGGCGUGGAUUAGGCAUGCAAGUCGCACGAGAAAGGGCUUCGGCCCGAGUAAAGUGGCGGACGGGUGAGUAAUGCGUAGAUGACCUGCCCUGAUGACGGGGAUAACUAGCCGAAAGGUUAGCUAAUACCGGAUGUGGUGCGGAGGCCACGGCUUCUGUAACUAAAGAUGGCCACUGAUUUAAGCUGUCGCAUGAGGAGGGGUUUACGUGCUAUUAGCUAGUUGGUGA